AAGCCUUGGCAGCACAUAUAUUAAAAUUGGGAUGAUACAGAGAAGAUUAGCAUGGCCCCGGCACAUCAAGGAUGACACGUAAAUUUGUGAAGCAUUUCCAUAUUAA
Octodon degus (degu) is the source of this 106-nucleotide small nuclear RNA. NCBI's taxonomy places the organism in Eukaryota, Metazoa, Chordata, Mammalia, Rodentia, Octodontidae. The record is from Ensembl.